AGUCGAACGGUAACAGGUCUUCGGAUGCUGACGAGUGGCGAACGGGUGAGUAAUACAUCGGAACGUGCCCGAUCGUGGGGGAUAACGGAGCGAAAGCUUUGCUAAUACCGCAUACGAUCUACGGAUGAAAGCAGGGGACCGCAAGGCCUUGCGCGGACGGAGCGGCCGAUGGCAGAUUAGGUAGUUGGUGGGAUAAAAGCUUACCAAGCCGACUGAUCUGUAGCUGGUCUGAGAGGACGACCAGCCACACUGGGACUGAGACACGGCCCAGACUCCUACGGGAGGCAGCAGUGGGGAAUUUUGGACAAUGGGCGAAAGCCUGAUCCAGCCAUGCCGCGUGCAGGAUGAAGGCCUUCGGGUUGUAAACUGCUUUUGUACGGAACGAAAAGACUCCUUCUAAUAAAGGGGGUCCAUGACGGUACCGUAAGAAUAAAGCACCGGCUAACUACGUGCCAGCAGCCCGCCGGUAAG
Molecule: ribosomal RNA, 471 nt
Filed under: Acidovorax sp. '5.5 MW-5'
Lineage: Bacteria; Pseudomonadati; Pseudomonadota; Betaproteobacteria; Burkholderiales; Comamonadaceae
Description: bacterial SSU rRNA
Rfam family: Bacterial small subunit ribosomal RNA
Source: RNAcentral